GAUGAACGCUGGCGGCGUGCCUAAUACAUGCAAGUAGAACGCUGAAGGAGGAGCUUGCUCUUCUGGAUGAGUUGCGAACGGGUGAGUAACGCGUAGGUAACCUGCCUGGUAGCGGGGGAUAACUAUUGGAAACGAUAGCUAAUACCGCAUGACAACAGUUAUUGCAUGAUAACUGUUUAAAAGGGGCAACUGCUCCACUACCAGAUGGACCUGCGUUGUAUUAGCUAGUUGGUGAGGUAACGGCUCACCAAGGCGACGAUACAUAGCCGACCUGAGAGGGUGAUCGGCGACACCGGGACUGAGACACGGCCCAGACUCCUACGGGAGGCAGCAGUAGGGAAUCUUCGGCAAUGGACGGAAGUCUGACCGAGCAACGCCGCGUGAGUGAAGAAGGUUGUCGGAUCGUAAAGCUCUGUUGUAAGGGAAGAACGAGUGUGAGGGUGGAAAGUUCACACUGUGACGGUAUCUUACCAGAAAGGGACGGCUAACUACGUG
This 495-nucleotide ribosomal RNA is filed under the name uncultured bacterium. RNAcentral describes it as "partial 16S ribosomal RNA". It matches the Rfam family "Bacterial small subunit ribosomal RNA", at positions 28 to 507 of the family's 1533-position model. The record is from RNAcentral.